CAGUACCCGCAGGAAGAGAAAACAACCGUGAUUCCGGGAGUAGUGGCGAGCGAAACCGGAUGAGGCCAAACCGUAUGCGUGUGAGACCCGGCAGGGGUUGCGCAUGCGGGGUUGUGGGAUCUCUCUUUCACAGUCUGCCGGCUGUGAGACGAGUCAGAAACCGUUGAUGUAGGCGAAGGACAUGCGAAAGGUCCGGCGUAGAGGGUAAGACCCCCGUAGUCGAAACAUCAGCGGCUCGUUUGAGAGACACCCAAGUAGCACGGGGCCCGAGAAAUCCCGUGUGAAUCUGGCGGGACCACCCGCUAAGCCUAAAUAUUCCCUGGUGACCGAUAGCGGAUAGUACCGUGAGGGAAUGGUGAAAAGUACCGCGGGAGCGGAGUGAAAUAGUACCUGAAACCGUGUGCCUACAAGCCGUGGGAGCGUCGGGCAAGCACUUGUGCUUGCCUCGUGACUGCGUGCCUUUUGAAGAAUGAGCCUGCGAGUUUGCGGUGUGUUGCGAGGUUAACCCGUGUGGGGAAGCCGUAGCGAAAGCGAGUCCGAACAGGGCGAUUCAGUAGCGCGCUCAAGACCCGAAGCGGAGUGAUCUAGCCAUGGGCAGGUUGAAGCGGAGGUAAGACUUCGUGGAGGACCGAACCCACCAGGGUUGAAAACCUGGGGGAUGACCUGUGGUUAGGGGUGAAAGGCCAAUCAAACUCCGUGAUAGCUGGUUCUCCCCGAAAUGCAUUUAGGUGCAGCGUCGUGUGUUUCUUGCCGGAGGUAGAGCACUGGAUAGGCGAUGGGCCCUACCGGGUUACUGACCUUAGCCAAACUCCGAAUGCCGGUAAGUGAGAGCACGGCAGUGAGACUGUGGGGGAUAAGCUCCAUGGUCGAGAGGGAAACAGCCCAGAGCAUCGACUAAGGCCCCUAAGCGUACGCUAAGUGGGAAAGGAUGUGGAGUCGCAGAGACAACCAGGAGGUUGGCUUAGAAGCAGCCACCCUUGAAAGAGUGCGUAAUAGCUCACUGGUCUAGUGAUUCCGCGCCGACAAUGUAGCGGGGCUCAAGCGUACCGCCGAAGUCGUGUCAUU
This 1065-nucleotide ribosomal RNA is filed under the name Streptomyces sp. S3(2020). RNAcentral's name for it is "partial 23S ribosomal RNA". It matches the Rfam family "Bacterial large subunit ribosomal RNA", at positions 204 to 1209 of the family's 2925-position model. Lineage: Bacteria; Bacillati; Actinomycetota; Actinomycetes; Kitasatosporales; Streptomycetaceae. The record is from RNAcentral.